RNAcentral lists this ribosomal RNA (300 nucleotides) under uncultured Sarcina sp. RNAcentral describes it as "bacterial SSU rRNA". It matches the Rfam family "Bacterial small subunit ribosomal RNA", at positions 495 to 795 of the family's 1533-position model. Lineage: Bacteria; Bacillati; Bacillota; Clostridia; Eubacteriales; Clostridiaceae. The record is from RNAcentral.
GGUAAAAUCCGGGUGGGCGAGAUCGGAAAUACGGAUGAUCCAAGCGUUAGCCGGAAGCAGUGGGGUUAGAGGUGCCGUAGGCGUCUGUAUAAGUCAGCGGUGAAAGUUUUUGGCGUAACCAAAAAAUUGCCAUUGAUACUGUAGGGCUUGAAUUAUUGUGAAGUAACUAGAAUAUGUAGUGUAGCGGUGAAAUGCUUAGAUAUUACAUGGAAUACCAAUUGCGAAGGCAGGUUACUAACAAUGGAUUGACGCUGAUGGACGAAAGCGUGGGUAGCGAACAGGAUUAGAUACCCAGUAGUC